GCCGAUUAAAACCACAUUAAGUGUCCUCAGUGUCGCAGAUUCACUCCGGUUAGUGCCGGGCCAAUCUCUGUGAAUGAUGAUCUCCAAACCGAUCACGAUUUGAUGGCCCUACUUCUCCAAACAAAAACAAAUUUAUUAUCACAGAGACAUUCACCUGUAUCUGCCACGGGCACGAUUAAAUCGAUAUUAAUUGUUGGAAAUGGUUAUAGGAAUCGAUAGUGAUUUAUCUCCUCCUCCAGCGGGUGGGAUUUCAAAACGGUGCAUACCGUGACUGCUAGAUGGCGUUGGUGGAUGAUGAUUAUUUUCUGCGAAAAAAAAUAAAUGGCCCUAGCCGAGGUGCUGAAUUUUUAGGGGGUAAUUUGGCGUUCCGUAUUUAUCGUGCCAGUGGCAGAUACAGGGCCAUCAAAUCGUGAUCGGUUUGGAGAUCCUAAUUCACAGAGAUUUGCCCGGCACUAACCGGAGUGAAUAUGCGACACUGAGGACACUUAAUGUGGUUUUAAUCGACUAGAUUCUGAAUGACACAAAAAUAUACAUGAGUACAAUCAUCGGACA
This is a long non-coding RNA of Daphnia magna, 552 nucleotides long. RefSeq lists it as uncharacterized. The record is from RefSeq and is a predicted model, not a curated record. Lineage: Eukaryota; Metazoa; Arthropoda; Branchiopoda; Diplostraca; Daphniidae. The transcript is spliced from 2 exons.